GAGCCUGAGAAACGGCUACCACAUCCAAGGAUGGCAGCAGGCGCGCAAAUUACCCAAUCCCGACACGGGGAGGUAGUGACAAUAAAUAACAAUACGGGGUUCUUUAGGAUCUCGUAAUUGGAAUGAGUACAAUUUAAAUCUCUUAACGAGGAACAAUUGGAGGGCAAGUCUGGUGCCAGCAGCCGCGGUAAUUCCAGCUCCAAUAGCGUAUAUUAAAGUUGUUGCAGUUAAAAAGCUCGUAGUUGAACUUCGGGGUUAGUAGGUUGGUCAUGCCUCUGGUAUGUACUGGUCUCACUGAUUCCUCCUUCCUUAUGAACCGUAAUGCCAUUAAUUUGGUGUUGCGGGGAAUUUGGACUGUUACUUUGAAAAAAUUAGAGUGUUUAAAGCAAGCUAACGCUUGAAUACAUUAGCAUGGAAUAAUGAAAUAGGACGUUCGAUCUUAUUUUGUUGGUUUCUAGGAUUGACGUAAUGAUUAAUAGGGAUAGUUGGGGGCAUUAGUAUUCAAUUGUCAGAGGUGAAAUUCUUGGAUUUAUUGAAGACUAACUACUGCGAAAGCAUUUGCCAAGGAUGUUUUCAUUAAUCAAGAACGAAAGUUAGGGGAUCGAAGACGAUCAGAUACCGUCGUAGUCUUAACCAUAAACUAUGCCGACUAGGGAUCGGAUGAUGUUAAUUUUUUAAUGACUCAUUCGGCGCCUUACGGGAAAC
Molecule: ribosomal RNA, 705 nt
Filed under: uncultured fungus
Lineage: Eukaryota; Fungi
Description: SSU rRNA
Rfam family: Eukaryotic small subunit ribosomal RNA
Source: RNAcentral